CCGAGGCAGCAGAGGUGGCUGCUGGGAAGACAGGACACGUGGAGGGAGCUGGGGCUCCUGGAGCCGGGCACAGGCUGAGCGCCGGGCGCCGGGCCCAGGGGACAGGGUGGAAGCUCUGGAGGAGUAGCCGCCUGCCUAAAUAACGCUGCCUCUCCUUGGUGCGACUGGUUUUACUCUGUCUUCUAGAUAUGGAACUCCAGAAGUGCAGAUACUUGUGGGCACCGGGAUUCCGGCUGCGACUCGGCGCAUGUGCAUGCCGCCCACCCUCUGUAAGCUCCCCACUCCGGACCUGGCCUGGACCAGGAAGUCAGACCAAGCUUCUCCAGUUUCCACGUGCCCACCAUCCCACCCCGCCGUGGACAGUUCUCCUGGAAGCAGAUGCGAAUAUACUUUGUUGUAGUCUUUCCCGGCAAUGGUGCUGGAGAGCAGAAUGGCCCCAGAAGCUCAUUCCUCCCAUACCUCAUGUGGCUGGAGGAUGUCGUUCCCGUCAGAAGGCCUUCCUCUGACUCUCGCACGUGAUGACAGUUUCACUGGAGUCAGGUGGACGUGGACUAAUCAGCGGCUGAUAUCGAGAAGCCGUUGGAUCGAGGCAACCAAAGUGGUUUUGAGCAACACCAGUUCCUUCUCCAUAUUUUAUGGUGAAAAAAAAAUGAGUAAAAUUAAAGGAAGGAAAGAAGAAGAAAGGAAGAAAUGGAAAGAAUAACACACAUUAGUAAAACUUGAGCUAGACUGACAGAAGUUUGGAGAAAUAUUCUGGACCAGUUCUGGAGCAUCCUCUCUCAAAAAUAGCCCUGCCUGGACCUGUCAAAAGGACAAAGAAGAUGGCUGGAAGGAGCUCCCACUGGCCAAAUCUGGGACAAUCUGAACUUCAAAAACAAAAACAAAAACAAAAAAGAUAGUAGUGGUUUGUAAUCCACUGAAUAAAAUAAGAAAAUAUAGGUUCAUACUGAUAUAAACAAACAAAUAAAUGGAGGAAUAGAAAAAGCCCUUCCUUACAGUAAAAUUGCAACCAAUAAGUGUAGAAGAAAAGAUAGGAUUAGAAAAUCACCAUUUGGCAGCCUUCAGGCAAGAACUGUCAAUGGAUGUGUAAACCAGUGGGUAAAAGUUUGAUGAGAAGCAGUAUUUUUAUACAAUCUCAACAUACCUCCUCAUAAAAUAUUUAUUGAUUUCAAAGAGAAAAAUAAUAACUUUGCAGUGGAGAGGCUUGACAGACCCCACCUGAGCCAAAUGAUCAAAGUUAGCACCACAAGGGACAAAUGGGACAAAUCAGUAUCAUGUCUCUCCGGAUGUGAUAAUUCUAAGAAGGACACAAUAUCACCUUUGCGGUGUUCCUGCCAAAAACGCACACCCUGACUCUAAUUGUGAAGAAACAUCAGAAGGUCCAAAAACAAGGGACAGGCUAUUCAAUAAGUGGCUUAUAUUCUUCCAGAAAGUCAAUGUCAUGAAAGACAAAAACUGAGGAACUACCCUAAUUGAAAAAAACCUAAAGAGAUCUGAUAAUGGUGAUCUUGGAUCGGAUUCUGGAUCAAAUUUUUUUUUGUCUAUUGCUAUAAAGAACAUUGUUAGGAAAACUGAUGAAAUUUGAAAAAGAUGUGUAGUUUAGAUACUAUUAUUGAAUCAAAAUGAUUUCCUGAUUUUGAUACUGUAUUGGGGUCAUAAGAGGGAAUGACCAUUUUUUAAGUAUUUAGGGAUAAAAGGGCAUCGUAUCUGUAACUUAACUUUCAACCAGUUUAGGA
Molecule: long non-coding RNA, 1736 nt
Organism: Balaenoptera acutorostrata (minke whale)
Lineage: Eukaryota; Metazoa; Chordata; Mammalia; Artiodactyla; Balaenopteridae
Exons: 5
Source: RefSeq, a predicted model, not a curated record